RNAcentral lists this non-coding RNA (30 nucleotides) under Mus musculus (house mouse). Lineage: Eukaryota; Metazoa; Chordata; Mammalia; Rodentia; Muridae. RNAcentral also lists the same sequence under 1 other name. The record is from RNAcentral.
UGCCAGUGACAAUGUCUAGCCAGAGGUGAC